AAUAUUGCACAAUGGGCGCAAGCCUGAUGCAGCCAUGCCGCGUGAGUGAAGAAGGCCUUAGGGUUGUAAAACUCUUUCACCGGUGAAGAUAAUGACGGUAGCCGGAGAAGAAGCCCCGGCCAACUCCGUGCCAGCAGCCGCGGUAAUACGGAGGGGGCUAGCGUUGUUCGGAAUUACUGGGCGUAAAGCGCGCGUAGGCGGGCUGGUCAGUUGGGGGUGAAAUCCCGGGGCUUAACCUCGGAACUGCCCUCAAUACUACCAGUCUAGAGAUCGAGAGAGGUAAGUGGAAUUCCUAGUGUAGAGGUGAAAUUCGUAGAUAUUAGGAAGAACACCAGUGGCGAAGGCGGCUUACUGGCUCGAUACUGACGCUGAGGCGCGAAAGCGUGGGGAGCAAACAGGAUUAGAUACCCUGGUAGUCCACACCGUA
This 427-nucleotide ribosomal RNA is filed under the name uncultured marine bacterium. Its description in RNAcentral is "bacterial SSU rRNA". It matches the Rfam family "Bacterial small subunit ribosomal RNA", at positions 360 to 804 of the family's 1533-position model. The record is from RNAcentral.